RNAcentral lists this unclassified non-coding RNA (253 nucleotides) under Teichococcus musae. RNAcentral's name for it is "partial 16S ribosomal RNA". It matches the Rfam family "Bacterial small subunit ribosomal RNA", at positions 524 to 776 of the family's 1533-position model. RNAcentral also lists the same sequence under 1 other name. The record is from RNAcentral. Lineage: Bacteria; Pseudomonadati; Pseudomonadota; Alphaproteobacteria; Acetobacterales; Roseomonadaceae.
UACGAAGGGGGCUAGCGUUACUCGGAAUUACUGGGCGUAAAGGGCGCGUAGGCGGCGCUCCAAGUUAGGCGUGAAAGUCCUGGGCUCAACCUGGGAACUGCGCUUAAGACUGGAGUGCUUGAGGAUGGAAGAGGGUUGUGGAAUUCCCAGUGUAGAGGUGAAAUUCGUAGAUAUUGGGAAGAACACCGGUGGCGAAGGCGGCAACCUGGUCCAUUACUGACGCUGAGGCGCGAUAGCGUGGGGAGCAAACAGG